This 253-nucleotide ribosomal RNA is filed under the name uncultured bacterium. RNAcentral describes it as "partial 16S ribosomal RNA". It matches the Rfam family "Bacterial small subunit ribosomal RNA", at positions 524 to 776 of the family's 1533-position model. The record is from RNAcentral.
UACGUAGGCAGCGAGCGUUGUUCGGAGUUACUGGGCGUAAAGGGCGCGUAGGCGGCGUGACAAGUCACUUGUGAAAUCUCCGGGCUUAACUCGGAACGGUCAAGUGAUACUGUCGUGCUAGAGUACAGAAGGGGCAACUGGAAUUCUCGGUGUAGCGGUGAAAUGCGUAGAUGUCGAGAGGAACACCUGCGGCGAAGGCGGGUUGCUGGGCUGAUACUGACGCUGAGGCGCGAAAGCCAGGGGAGCGAACGGG